CGAUGGGUUUAGGCAAUUACUGAACAGCCCUACUUGAGAGGCCUUGGCCCAAAUAUCAUAGUCAGGCUCUGGGCCCAUAUCUCUACCUUUAAAAACCAUUCUAGGCGCGCCUCUAAAACCCUAGGUUAGAGCGCUUCUUUUCGCAGCAGCGCAGCCAAGCACACAAGGAUUCUCCCCUCGCGGAUCUCAUAACCUAGAGAUAAAACUAUGUCGGUUGGAGAGGUAGCUUGCACUUAUGCUGCUUUGAUUCUCUACGAUGAUGGUAUACCCAUCACUGUAUCCUUACUUGAAACCGUAGGCUUGUAUUUGCUGUUCUGUUUAUUCUAGCAUUUCUGUAAGUUAGGUAUGCUAAUUUUAAGAUUCAGUAUUUAGUUUUUCCUUCCGCCGUUGUUAUUUAGUUUAGUUCAUAUUUUGACCUUCUAGGUUUUGAAUCUGAAUGUGCAUUAGGGCAUUAUUGCCUUUUUUUUGUUAUAUUUUCAAUUUAUUUAAUGUAUAUUUGAAUGGUUCUGGAUUUUGGAGGUCAUUAUCUGGUUGGUUGUUAGCUAAGAAACUAGAGGGAAUUGCUUGCUUCUAACUUAACAACAGAGUUGGAAAUUUUGCUCUCGGAUAAAUAUAUUUUCUUGGAAAUCUUUUUCCUUUAACUUCUGUUGAAAGGCUGAGAAGAUCGCUCAGUUGGUCAAAGCAGCCAAUGUAAAAGUUGAAUCUUACUGGCCAAGCUUGUUUGCCAAGCUAUUGGCAACGCGCAACGUUGCGGACCUCAUUGUGAAUGUUGGUUCCGGCGGUGGUGGUGCUCCAGUGGCAGCUGCAGUUCCUGCUGCUGGUGGUGGUGCAGCUGCAGCUGCUGCUCCUCCACCUGAAGAAAAGAAGAAGGAAGAGCCUGAGGAAGAGAGUGAUGAGGACAUGGGAUUCAGCUUAUUUGAUUAGGAGUUCCUUCAGUAUGCCCAUGUCCUAUGUUGGUCUUAGUAGUUCAAAAGUAGUUCCCUUUUGGAUAUUUUGGCUGUUCUGUGUCAGUAUAAAUACUCUUUUUUCAUGAAUGCAGUAUUGGAGAGCAUGGUUUUUGAACAAUCAUAUGUUUUAUAGCGUCUAGAAAUGUAUAAGUAUUUCAGAUGAGUAUUGGUUCUCUUGUUAUUGAGUUUUGAAUCGAUGUUCUUAACUCUUAAAUUGUGCAAUGAAUUUAAAAAUUUCAAAAUUGCUACUGCUUCAUCUUUGGAUAAGGAUGUUGAAUCUGAUUUCUGCUUUGUUGCACGCCCAGUUGUGCUUGAUGCUUAAGCAGAUUGACAUUGAAUUUUUUGUUCAAACAUUUGGUAUUAGCAUUGUAUACCCGAUAGUGUUUCUUUGGGAAAUAAUGAUACAAACUUACCGACUCCCUUGAAAAUUGAUUUAGGUAAAAUUUAUCCCAAUUAUGAGAUGUGCAGGUGACACUUGAGAAAUUAUUUUUGGAAUUGUAAUCCACGUCUUAGAAUUUCAGAGUUUGUUUCUAGGUAUCUUUGAAUUGUCAUUGCCUUCAUGGAUGGACUGUGUGCAAGGCUAGAGUGUGGCUUGUUGACUGCUGCAUUCUUGUAAGUGAUAAACAUGCAAUGCAAUUGCAGUAUAU
Molecule: unclassified non-coding RNA, 1594 nt
Filed under: Hevea brasiliensis (rubber tree)
Lineage: Eukaryota; Viridiplantae; Streptophyta; Magnoliopsida; Malpighiales; Euphorbiaceae
Source: RNAcentral